RNAcentral lists this ribosomal RNA (884 nucleotides) under uncultured archaeon. RNAcentral describes it as "bacterial SSU rRNA". It matches the Rfam family "Archaeal small subunit ribosomal RNA", at positions 1 to 871 of the family's 1478-position model. The record is from RNAcentral.
CCCGCCAAUUCCUUUAAGUUUCUCUGGUUGAUCCUGCCGGCGGCACCGCUCUUGGAAUCCGACUAAGCCAUGCGAGUCGAGAGGGUUCGGCCCUCGGCGCACCGCUCAGUAACACCUGGAUAACCUACCCUGGAGUGGGGGAUAAUCUCGGAAACCUGAGAAUAAUACCCCAUAGGCCUUUGGUACUGGAAUGUUCUUAGGCCCAAAGUUACGGCGCUCCAGGAUGGGUCUGCGGCCUAUCAGGUAGUAGUGAGUGUAAAGGACUCACUAGCCGACAACGGGUACGGGCCAUGGGAGUGGUAGCCCGGAGAUGGAUUCUGAGACACGAAUCCAGGCCCUACGGGGCGCAGCAGGCGCGAAAACUUCGCAAUGCGCGAAAGCGCGACGAGGGGAUUCCAAGUGCAUGCACUUAGUGCAUGCUGUUUGCUAGUCCAAAUAGCUAGUAGAGUAAGGGCUGGGUAAGACUGGUGCCAGCCGCCGCGGUAAUACCGGCGGCUCGAGUGGUGGCCACUAUUACUGGGCUUAAAGCGUUCGUAGCUGGUCUGUUAAGUCUCUGGGGAAAUCUACUGGCUUAACCAAUAGACGUUUCAGGGAUACUGGCAGACUAGGGACCGGGAGAGGUGAGAGGUACUCCAGGGGUAGGAGUGAAAUCCUGUAAUCCUUGGGGGACCACCUGUGGCGAAGGCGUCUCACCAGAACGGCUCCGACAGUGAGGGACGAAAGCUGGGGGAGCAAACCGGAUUAGAUACCCGGGUAGUCCUAGCCGUAAACGAUACUCGCUAGGUGUCGGCCACGGUGCGACCGUUGUCGGUGCCGUAGGGAAGCCGUGAAGCGAGCCACCUGGGAAGUACGGCCGCAAGGCUGAAACUUAAAGGAAUUGGCGG